AAAGGGAACCAGCAGCAGCAGGAGCAUGAGGGACCCAUCUACAACCCAGUAACCUUCUUGGUGCAGCUGAAGCUAAAGUGAGAGCUAUCCAUCCAAUAUGGACUGGCUGAGGUUGCCUUUUUCAGCUGGCUAACAAACAUAAACACAUAAACACAUAGACAUGCACACUCACAGGCAGUGUGUGACCUCAUCUCAUCUUAUCUCAUCUGGAGCUACUACUGAAACCACCCGAGAGCUAGAGAAUCGAGGAUUUAAAAAGCGUUAUAUCAAAGGGCCAGUUCACCCAGCUGCGGAGUCACGACGCAGGUGUCAGAUCAUAAUAGAGAAUGUAGAAGUUCCAGGAAGGAACUGGAAGUGUGGAGCUGGUUGGCGAGGAGGUUGUGGUCACGACUCACGCAUGUGGGUCAUGAGCCUUCGUGUUGGAGCAAUGUCAGGGAGACGAGGAAGAAGAAGAUGAUCAGUUAGGGUUUUGGUACUCUGGCAUCUGCCACUUUCCUCUGACACUACUACAGUUGCCCUUCCUCUUUCAUGCCCCCAUGUGUGGUUUGCCUCAGUGCAGACGGUGUCGCAGAGACGGUAACUUGGUCUUGGCCUACAAGCAGCGUUUCUCACAAGCUUUGAGAAAUCUGACAGGGGUUCUUGAGUUGUGGCCGUGGCCCUUUGUUUCAGUUCUACGCACUAGAGGCCAUCAUUCGAGUUCCGUUAGACAGCUCCCUGUAAAGAGCAGUGAGAAAUGGUGGGGAGGGGUCCAUGCUUCCAUCACCGCUUUCGCCUCUUGAGUGAUAUCUUGAAUAAAGCAAUUUUGUCUGUGAUCAGCAGCAUUACGAACGUAUCAUUUCGUAUUGAUCACACAGCUUGGUCUACGCUCAACGUACAUGUAUUUUACGACAGUAUGGCUUUCGCAUUCUACAAAAACAUUUCCAGCGUUCAACAUCGAAUAUUUUGUGGGGGAAUCCAAAAACGGCUUGUCCCCUCUGGACAAUCAUAUUUCCAGAUAUUCGAAAAUCUAGGCAUUAGGGGUUGCGUUUGAAGUUGGGUGCUCUGCUGGGCUGUGACCUCUCAGGUGUUCUGACUUCUAUGAAUGCUAAGGGUUCAAGCAGUAGCACGAAGCUCAAGGACAGGUGUUCACUGAGGAAUGUUUUAGGGUUUUGUAUAAUCAUCUGUGGAGCAUGUUCCGGAAUCUUGACUAACUUUGUAAUUAAGAGUUCGUUCGUUGUCUGUCAGCCCCCCCCCCCCAGUUGUCAAAUUUCAAUACAAAAGAGUUUCGUUGCCGCAGGGUUUUUGAGAUUUCCGUGUCAGACGAGUGCACCAACCUCCUUUUUUAACUGACUGGACAGAGGCGGAUGACUUGAAAGUACGGAAUAGAAGCGGAGUUUACAGCAUUCAGCCUCACGGACAGAUUUUGGAAGGCUUGUACUCUGGGCCGCAUUAUAAAAAAAUGCCAAUUAGGGUCUGGCACAGGUUUACACAGAGACAAAAAAAUCUAGAAGAAGGUUGAGUUGACCUCCAUGUUCUUUAUGGGGGAAAUUAUAUAUAUAUAUAUAUAUAUAUAUAUAUAUGUGUGUGUGUGUGUGUAUAUAUAA
Molecule: non-coding RNA, 1583 nt
Organism: Physcomitrium patens
Lineage: Eukaryota; Viridiplantae; Streptophyta; Bryopsida; Funariales; Funariaceae
Source: RefSeq, a predicted model, not a curated record